CCUCCCCCCUUACAUGAAGUAAAAGUCGUAACAAGGUAACCGUAGGUGAACCUGCGGUUGGAUCAUUACAAAUGAACCACCUUGAGGUUGAGUCGCUGCCUAGUUUACUAGCAGGGAUUCCCUCUUGGUAUAAACCACUGUGCACCGUUUUGUUUUUUGGGAGACUGUGUGAUAGGUUAGUAGUUUACGAAAACCAGUCCUGCUCCCAGCAUUAUCAACCAACCUAUUAAAUCAAACUGAAUUUUUUCUAUACGAAAUAAAUACAACUUUUGACAACGGAUCUCUUGGCUCUC
This 293-nucleotide unclassified non-coding RNA is filed under the name fungal sp. RNAcentral's name for it is "partial internal transcribed spacer region". The stretch from base 1 to 68 matches the Rfam family "Eukaryotic small subunit ribosomal RNA", at positions 1764 to 1831 of the family's 1831-position model. Lineage: Eukaryota; Fungi. The record is from RNAcentral.